This 220-nucleotide ribosomal RNA is filed under the name uncultured bacterium. RNAcentral describes it as "partial 16S ribosomal RNA". It matches the Rfam family "Bacterial small subunit ribosomal RNA", at positions 111 to 334 of the family's 1533-position model. The record is from RNAcentral.
UAAUGUAUGGGGAUCUGCCUGAUGGCGGGGGAUAACUACUGGAAACGGUAGCUGAUACCGCAUAAUGUCUGCGGACCAAAGCGGGGGACCUCCGGGCCUCGCGCCAUCAGAUGAACCCAUAUGGGAUUAGCUAGUAGGUAAGGUAACGGCUUACCUAGGCGACGAUCCCUAGCUGGUCUGAGAGGAUGAUCAGCCACACUGGGACUGAGACACGGCCCAG